Molecule: long non-coding RNA, 894 nt
Filed under: Fragaria vesca (wild strawberry)
Lineage: Eukaryota; Viridiplantae; Streptophyta; Magnoliopsida; Rosales; Rosaceae
Description: long non-coding RNA (FVES_LNC004765)
Source: RNAcentral
UUUGAUACAAGUAGUUGAUAAGUUGCAUUGUCUUUGUUAUUUCACCGAUUUUCUACAUAUGUUUGAUUUGGACUUGUGCUUAAACACAUCGAUUCUUUAUGUGAUACGUAAUUGCAUGAUUAGUUUAUGUGUGUGACCUAUAAGCAGAGCACGUAGCCGAGCUUGUUUGUGUCAUGAUGUUGAAUGAAACCGGUAGUCUAAUUCAAAGUAUGUCUAUGUCAUAGGAACCACGUAGGAACUUAUGUGCAUAUCAAAUAUAGGUUGUGUAUUUGCUCACAGUGUGGACUUAAUUGAGAUUAGAGAUCGUCUUCUUUGUUCUUGCAUGGUUGUUUGGUUGUGUUUGCAUGAUUGUUGGUUGAUCACAUGUAAAUAUGUAUAGAGGUAAUUUAGGAUUUAUUUCCAAUGUCUAUUCCGAAAUCAUCAAACCUUUAAACCCUAUAUGCUUAUUUCGACAUUUAUAUUAGGUUAGUGGAUUUACCCUGUAGUUGGAUCCCCGGUUUAGAACGAUCCAUGCUUGCUUUAUACCACGAUUGAUUUGUUGACAGGGUUAAUUGAUGCGUGUGCAAAUACGUUUUAUCAACUAAGGACUCAAAUUGACAUGCAUAUAUAUUAAGUUACCAACAUUGAAUCCUUAGAUGUCUCUCGGCUUAACUAGAAAGCCUUUAAAGAAACCGUGUGAUCUAGUUUAAAAAAAGAGAAAAUGCCCUAAUGCCUAAAUAUUUAAAACUAAAGCCCAUUUCAAUUAAAGUCUUAUCAUUGUGCCCAUUCCAAUAAUUCUUGAGAAAAAGACGUUAUUACCCUGUGUUUAAUUAAACCCACACAAUUCUUAUCUCUUUCUUCUUCUUCUUUCUUCCCGAUCCAUCUGGAUUCCUCUCUCUCUCUCUCUCUCUCUCU